UUUUGUUAUCCAUAAUGGUUCAUCUACUUUCAUUAGUGUGAGUCAUUACGACCAAAAUGCUUCGACUUGCAUAAUCACAGUGAUGGAUGGCAGAGGGGGGGCUUUCUGAACAAAGAGGCCAAACCACAGCAGAAUCCGAGCACUGAUAAAUCUCGGAGAAAAAGCAGAUGUGUAUUGUAGCGUCUCCCUUUGUGGAGUGAGGAGCCAGAGCCAGCUUUUCCUCAUCAGGGCCGACCAUUAAAAGCAUAUUAAAGAUGUUUCUUUACGAUGUUUGCUUCAGUGCUGUUGCUCUCUUCUUUUUAGGGAAAUAUUACAUUUGUAACGAAAUGUAAAAAAAAUGAAAAUGGUGUUAUUUUUAAAAUCUCUAUUAUUGACGUAUGGUGGUUUUGUAUGAAGUUCAUAAGGCGUGAUGGUAUUCUGCGAACCAAUGGUUAAGAUCACAAUGAUUGGGUCCAACACUUACACGUGGUGAUUGUGGCUCUGGAGAGAACGGUCGUCCUUCAAUCAGCAUCGGCGGUUGGAUCCCCGGCUUUGCCAGUGUCAAGGUGUCCUUCCUCAAGACACUUAACAUCAAAGGUGUCCUCUAGCUGUGACUACGCUCUGUGUAUGGUGUGAAUGUUAGUUACUGAUGGGCAGUUGUCACCGUGUGACUCCAGCCAUCAGAGUACGAAUGGAUGUGAAUCAUUUAGUGAAAAAAGCUUAUUGUAAGAGCAUUUUUACCAUUUACUUAUAGUCUAUGUUCAUACCUGUCUAUGGUUGUAAUUCCAUGGUUUAUUUAACAUUUAACUAGCGCUAGACACUUUUAUUUGAACUGUACAAACAUGGAAGUUUGCAAUCAGCCAUCAGUUAAACGGUCUAUUUAGCGUCUGUCGCAACAAGCCCAUCUCUUGGCUUGCUAGAAAAAUAUAUCGCUGUCUUAUUUCAAAGUUUGUGGGUUGGUAGGAUGCUUAUGCGCACAAUACUGACAGUAAGUUUCUUCUGAUAUGUCCCAUUUAAACAAGCCUUCCUGUAGGAGCCAAAUUUGUAGUGUGUUGCUUGUUGCAUUUUCAUGUUUGAUUAACCAGACUGUUGUGGGGAUUACUGUCAUUCGUUUGCGUAUUGUAGGAUAUUAGAAAUAGACUGACCACCCGGUUCAUAAAAUUAAUCAAAUGCAUAUAGUGUACACCAGAAUACAGCCAUGAUUCUGAAACUGUAAUCAAUAAAGUAAUGACAAUAUUGUAAAACCACUGUAAUUUUGCAACUGUAAUAGAACAAUACCAAUGUACAAUUAUGAUUGUAUUUGAUUAAGGUAAGUUCAUUUAGUUUUUUAAAACAUUGACUUCCCUGUGAAAUUUGGAGUAUUCCAGCAUUUCACUUCUCUAAUAAAUGUAUCUCGUAUUUUAUAGUUUGCUCAGCAUCACCAAGGCUCUGGAGGAAACCUCUGUAAGAUAGUCAGUAAUAGUCUUUAUGCUCAAUGCUUUUUCACUAUCAUUUGUUUAGUUUAUGUGUGCUAAUUAUCCUGUUCUCCUUCAUAGAAUUCUGCAUGCGGAGGUGUAAGGAAUGCGGUUUGGAUCUGGAUUUUGAGGUUGAUAUUCAUUUACAUUGUCAACAAUGGAAAUACACAAUGCACUUCAUUGUUGGAUGUUACGUUCCCCAGUUUUCUGUGUUUGGUGGCUUUGUUUUGUGCCUUGACAGGUGAUUGAUUCCAGGAGCAGCAGUCCCCAGACUGGAGAUCUGGCCCCACCCACUCGUCAGUGGCUGCACCUGGAUUCCUUCCCUCGCAACACAUAAAGGAAAAGGGGAAGCACCUUGGGAGUGCGUAGGCAAGCUGCCCAUGGGUAUACACCACCCGUAGUCAUCCUCCUGUCUAGAAAC
Long non-coding RNA from Gasterosteus aculeatus aculeatus (three-spined stickleback), 1854 nucleotides. The record is from Ensembl. NCBI's taxonomy places the organism in Eukaryota, Metazoa, Chordata, Actinopteri, Perciformes, Gasterosteidae.